UACUUGUUACUAGGUAAGGAGAUAAUAAAAAUCCGACAGAGAGAACAUCUGUCAUUGGUUAAGAUGAACAUAUCAAGGAUGACUCGCUAAGGAAAAGCCAUGAGGGAGUAUUCAUUACCGGUUACUGGGUAUGAAUAACCUUGCUGGGGAAAACUGCAAAGAAUAGGAUUUACAACUACCAGUUACUAGGCAGAAGACCAAGGGUGAGAGUAUUCGUCAUCGGUUAAGAUGAAUAUAUCAAGGAUGAC
This 248-nucleotide long non-coding RNA is filed under the name Lathyrus oleraceus (garden pea). RNAcentral describes it as "Pisum sativum (pea) long non-coding RNA (PSAT_LNC034456)". The record is from RNAcentral. Lineage: Eukaryota; Viridiplantae; Streptophyta; Magnoliopsida; Fabales; Fabaceae.